Bison bison bison is the source of this 118-nucleotide ribosomal RNA. The record is from Ensembl. Lineage: Eukaryota; Metazoa; Chordata; Mammalia; Artiodactyla; Bovidae.
GUCUAUGGCCAUACUACCCUGAAUGCAGUGGAUCUUGUCUGAUCUUGGAAGCUAAGCAGGGUUGGGCCUGCUUAGUACUUGAUGGGAGACCACCUGGCAAUACAAGGUGCUGUAGGCU